UGGGGUGUAGCCAAGCGGUAAGGCAGCGGGUUUUGAUCCCGUCAUGCGUAGGUUCGAAUCCUACCACCCCAG
Molecule: transfer RNA, 72 nt
Organism: Hahella chejuensis KCTC 2396
Lineage: Bacteria; Pseudomonadati; Pseudomonadota; Gammaproteobacteria; Oceanospirillales; Hahellaceae
Rfam family: tRNA
About the family: Transfer RNA (tRNA) molecules are approximately 80 nucleotides in length.
Source: Rfam